This is a non-coding RNA of Phoenix dactylifera (date palm), 363 nucleotides long. Lineage: Eukaryota; Viridiplantae; Streptophyta; Magnoliopsida; Arecales; Arecaceae. The record is from RefSeq and is a predicted model, not a curated record.
CAUAAGAUUCUUUUCGCAGUUUUGAGAUUCUUUCACAUGUUCAAUUCAUCUUGUCGAUCCUGGACUAUGACCACAUGUUUCCUGUGGCAGGGUCAUCAACACCGACUAAUCUUCUUGCGGUGAGUCCUUCAAGACAAUCAAUUGCCAACAUAUCUGCCCCCAUUGGCGGGGUCCUCAACAUAGCCAGAUUCAACUCAACAGCCAAGGACUAUGACCACAUGUUCCCUGUGGCAGGGUCAUAUCACCGACUAUUCUUCUUGCGGUACCAAUGUAUUAGCCCCCAUUGGCAGGGUCCUCAACAUAGCUCGACUGCAAGUCUGAAUCUAUCUCAAGUCAUUAUCUUUUUUUACAUUAUGUUCAAUG